This is a long non-coding RNA of Carassius carassius (crucian carp), 492 nucleotides long. RefSeq lists it as uncharacterized. The record is from RefSeq and is a predicted model, not a curated record. The transcript has 3 exons. NCBI's taxonomy places the organism in Eukaryota, Metazoa, Chordata, Actinopteri, Cypriniformes, Cyprinidae.
GAAGCAAGUGUUGAUCCUAACGGCCAGAUAUGCAGAGUACGUCUGACCGUAUGAGAUCCAGGAGAGCGUCUGCGGAGCUCAUGAUGGGUUUUCCACUGUCCUCGGAGUCCUCUUUCUGUGCCAUUCCGCCCGGAUGGAUGAUUAACACCAUGACGAUUCCCACCACCACGGCCAGGAAUGUGAAUAGAAUGAUUUCUGAAGGACCAUGUGACACUGAAGACUGGAGGAUUGAUGCUGAAAUUUAGAGACCCCAAACCUCUGAGCAGUAGUUUUAAACAAUGAAAAUCUAUAGACAUUAAACCAGUUUGUUAUCCAUUAAGAGCAAUAUCAAGUCUUACCUGGACACAACCAGAGGCAAAAUCAACAUCUUCAACAUCCUCAUCAGCAGCUCUCCAGGAAACUGGAAGUAUUUCACUUCCUAGAGUAGAAAAGAGACACAGCAAUCAACAAAACACUGAUCGGUCACAAGUUUUCCACACAACUGAGAAAUGA